CAGUCGCCGCGGUAAUACGGAGGGAGCUAGCGUUGUUCGGAAUUACUGGGCGUAAAGCGCGCGUAGGCGGUUACUCAAGUCAGAGGUGAAAGCCCGGGGCUCAACCCCGGAACUGCCUUUGAAACUAGGUGACUAGAAUCUUGGAGAGGUCAGUGGAAUUCCGAGUGUAGAGGUGAAAUUCGUAGAUAUUCGGAGGAACACCAGUGGCGAAGGCGGCUUACUGGCUCAUACUGGACGCUGAGGUGCGAAAGCGUGGGGAGCAAACAGGAUUAGAUACCCCAGUAGUCCCUGUCUCUUAUAC
This 301-nucleotide ribosomal RNA is filed under the name uncultured bacterium. RNAcentral's name for it is "partial 16S ribosomal RNA". It matches the Rfam family "Bacterial small subunit ribosomal RNA", at positions 509 to 807 of the family's 1533-position model. The record is from RNAcentral.